This 253-nucleotide ribosomal RNA is filed under the name uncultured bacterium. RNAcentral's name for it is "partial 16S ribosomal RNA". It matches the Rfam family "Bacterial small subunit ribosomal RNA", at positions 524 to 776 of the family's 1533-position model. The record is from RNAcentral.
UACAGAGGUGGCAAGCGUUGUUCGGAAUUACUGGGCGUAAAGGGCGCGUAGGCGGCUCGACAAGUCCCGCGUGAAAGCCCCCGGCUCAACUGGGGAGGGUCAUUCGAUACUGUUCGACUCGAAGGCAGGAGAGGGAAGUGGAAUUCCGGGUGUAGUGGUGAAAUGCGUAGAUAUCCGGAGGAACACCAGUGGCGAAGGCGACUUUCUGGCCUGUUCUUGACGCUGAGGCGCGAAAGCUAGGGGAGCAAACGGG